This 305-nucleotide ribosomal RNA is filed under the name uncultured bacterium. Its description in RNAcentral is "bacterial SSU rRNA". It matches the Rfam family "Bacterial small subunit ribosomal RNA", at positions 338 to 660 of the family's 1533-position model. The record is from RNAcentral.
CCUACGGGAGGCAGCAGUCGGGAAUAUUGCGCAAUGGAGGAAACUCUGACGCAGUGACGCCGCGUAUAGGAAGAAGUUUUUCGGAAUGUAAACUAUUGUCGUUAGGGAAGAGAAAGGACAGUACCUAAGGAGGAAGCUCCGGCUAACUACGUGCCAGCAGCCGCGGUAAUACGUAGGGAGCGAGCGUUAUCCGGAAUUAUUGGGUGUAAAGGGUGCGUAGGUGGUUUCUUAAGUCAGAGGUGAAAGGCUACGGCUCAACCGUAGUAAGCCUUUGAAACUGGGGAACUGGAGUGCAGGAGAGGAGG